AACGAACGCUGGCGGCAUGCCUAACACAUGCAAGUCGAACGAUGCCUUCGGGCAUAGUGGCGCACGGGUGCGUAACGCGUGGGAAUCUGCCCUUGGCUUCGGAAUAACAGUUAGAAAUGACUGCUAAUACCGGAUGAUGUCCCCCUGAGAGAUCUUGGGGACCAAAGAUUUAUCGGCCAGGGAUGAGCCCGCGUAGGAUUAGGUAGUUGGUGGGGUAAAGGCCUACCAAGCCGACGAUCCUUAGCUGGUCUGAGAGGAUGAUCAGCCACACUGGGACUGAGACACGGCCCAGACCCCUACGGGAGGCAGCAGUGGGGAAUAUUGGACAAUGGGGGGAACCCUGAUCCAGCAAUGCCGCGUGAGUGAUGAAGGCCUUAGGGUUGUAAAGCUCUUUUACCAGGGAUGAUAAUGACAGUACCUGGAGAAUAAGCUCCGGCUAACUCCGUG
RNAcentral lists this ribosomal RNA (447 nucleotides) under uncultured bacterium. RNAcentral's name for it is "partial 16S ribosomal RNA". It matches the Rfam family "Bacterial small subunit ribosomal RNA", at positions 29 to 507 of the family's 1533-position model. The record is from RNAcentral.